AUUGUAUUUUCAAAAAGAAAGCUGAGACUAGUGAGAUAAAGAAGCUUUCCUGUGGUUGCACAAACUCCUUUGGAUUGCUUUAAAUUCACCUCCCAGAGUGAAUUCAUCCUCUAAUUCUCUGGAGAACUGAUUCUGAAGGAAAUAAGUAAGGUUUCUAUUACCUGAGGAGAGAACUCCUCAGUGCUGCUCUAGACACUUGGAUGGACCUGCUUUUCUGUGGAGAACACUAAGUGCACCAGAAAAAUGCUGGAUCUGCAAGAUCUGCCCCUUAGAUGGCAUUUUCCUCCCCUCAUGUCAGGAAAAUUGUAUUUACA
Molecule: long non-coding RNA, 314 nt
Organism: Myotis davidii
Lineage: Eukaryota; Metazoa; Chordata; Mammalia; Chiroptera; Vespertilionidae
Exons: 4
Source: RefSeq, a predicted model, not a curated record